Molecule: ribosomal RNA, 257 nt
Filed under: uncultured bacterium
Lineage: Bacteria
Description: partial 16S ribosomal RNA
Rfam family: Bacterial small subunit ribosomal RNA
Source: RNAcentral
UACGUAGGGCGCAAGCGUUGUCCGGAAUUAUUGGGCGUAAAGAGCUCGUAGGCGGCUUGUCACGUCGGGUGUGAAAGCCCGGGGCUUAACCCCGGGUCUGCAUUCGAUACGGGCAGGCUAGAGUGUGGUAGGGGAGAUCGGAAUUCCUGGUGUAGCGGUGGAAAAUGCGCAGAUAUCAGGAGGAACACCGGUGGCGAAGGCGGAUCUCUGGGCCAUUACUGACGCUGAGGAGCGAAAGCGUGGGGAGCGAAACAGGG